This 1722-nucleotide ribosomal RNA is filed under the name Proteus mirabilis. RNAcentral describes it as "partial 23S ribosomal RNA". It matches the Rfam family "Bacterial large subunit ribosomal RNA", at positions 1223 to 2925 of the family's 2925-position model. Lineage: Bacteria; Pseudomonadati; Pseudomonadota; Gammaproteobacteria; Enterobacterales; Morganellaceae. The record is from RNAcentral.
GUUGGGUAGGGGAGCGUUCUGUAAGCCUGCGAAGGUGUACUGUGAGGUAUGCUGGAGGUAUCAGAAGUGCGAAUGCUGACAUAAGUAACGAUAAUGCGGGUGAAAAACCCGCACGCCGGAAGACCAAGGGUUCCUGUCCAACGUUAAUCGGGGCAGGGUGAGUCGACCCCUAAGGCGAGGCUGAAAAGCGUAGUCGAUGGGAAACGGGUUAAUAUUCCCGUACUGGUGGUAACUGCGAUGGGGGAACGGAGAAGGCUAGGUUGUCCGGGCGACGGUCGUCCCGGUUCAAGCAGGUAGGCAGAGUGAUUAGGCAAAUCCGGUCACUUAAUGCUGAGAUGUGAUGACGAACCACCAAGGUGGUGAAGCAAUUGAUGCCCCGCUUCCAGGAAAAGCCUCUAAGCUUCAGGUUACCAACAAUCGUACCCCAAACCGACACAGGUGGUCAGGUAGAGAAUACUCAGGCGCUUGAGAGAACUCGGGUGAAGGAACUAGGCAAAAUGGUGCCGUAACUUCGGGAGAAGGCACGCUGGCGGUAGGUAAAGUCCCUCGCGGACAGAGCUGAAGCCAGUCGAAGAUACCAGCUGGCUGCAACUGUUUAUUAAAAACACAGCACUGUGCAAACACGAAAGUGGACGUAUACGGUGUGACGCCUGCCCGGUGCUGGAAGGUUAAUUGAUGGGGUUAGCGCAAGCGAAGCUCCUGAUCGAAGCCCCAGUAAACGGCGGCCGUAACUAUAACGGUCCUAAGGUAGCGAAAUUCCUUGUCGGGUAAGUUCCGACCUGCACGAAUGGCGUAAUGAUGGCCAGGCUGUCUCCACCCGAGACUCAGUGAAAUUGAACUCGCUGUGAAGAUGCAGUGUACCCGCGGCAAGACGGAAAGACCCCGUGAACCUUUACUAUAGCUUGACACUGAACAUUGAGCCUUGAUGUGUAGGAUAGGUGGGAGGCUUUGAAGUGUGGACGCCAGUCUGCAUGGAGCCAACCUUGAAAUACCACCCUUUAACGUUUGAUGUUCUAACCUAGGCCCAUAAACUGGGUCGGGGACCGUGUCUGGUGGGUAGUUUGACUGGGGCGGUCUCCUCCUAAAGAGUAACGGAGGAGCACGAAGGUUGGCUAAGCAUGGUCGGACAUCAUGCGGUUAGUGCAAAGGCAUAAGCCAGCUUGACUGCGAGAGUGACGGCUCGAGCAGGUACGAAAGUAGGUCUUAGUGAUCCGGUGGUUCUGAAUGGAAGGGCCAUCGCUCAACGGAUAAAAGGUACUCCGGGGAUAACAGGCUGAUACCGCCCAAGAGUUCAUAUCGACGGCGGUGUUUGGCACCUCGAUGUCGGCUCAUCACAUCCUGGGGCUGAAGUAGGUCCCAAGGGUAUGGCUGUUCGCCAUUUAAAGUGGUACGCGAGCUGGGUUUAGAACGUCGUGAGACAGUUCGGUCCCUAUCUGCCGUGGGCGUUGGAAGAUUGAGAGGGGUUGCUCCUAGUACGAGAGGACCGGAGUGAACGCACCACUGGUGUUCGGGUUGUCAUGCCAAUGGCAUUGCCCGGUAGCUAAGUGCGGAAGAGAUAACCGCUGAAAGCAUCUAAGCGGGAAACUUGCCUCGAGAUGAGUCUUCCCUGUCGCUUUAAGCGACCUAAAGGAACGUUUAAGACUAAGACGUUGAUAGGCUGGGUGUGUAAGCGUAGCGAUACGUUGAGCUAACCAGUACUAAUGAACCGUGAGGCUUAACCUG